UUUUUUUUUCUGAGAUGGAGUCUCACUCUGUCUCCCAGGCUGGAGUGCAAUGGCGUGAUCUCAGCUCACUGCAAGCUCCGCCUCCCGGGUUCACGUCAUUCUCCCACUUCAGCCUCCCGAGUAGCUGGGACUACAGGUGCUCACCACCACGCCCAGCUAAUUUCUUUUUGUAUUUUUGGUAGAGAUGGGGUUUCACAGUGUUAGUCAGGAUGGUCUCAAUCUCCCAAUCUUGUGAUCCGCCUGCCUCAGCCUCCCAAAGUGCUAGGAUUACAGGCAUGAGCCACCGUGCCCAGCCCCGCUUUUUCUUGUCAUAGGGUGGUGGGAUCCCAUCAGACACUUGGAGGUGGUCUAGGGCAGCCUGACCGCACUUAGUCUUUUUAAAUUUAAAUUAAAAAAUUCUUUUGAGACGGAGUUUAGCUCUUAUUGCCCAGGCUGGAGUACAGUGGCAUGAUCUCGGCACACUGCAACCUCUGCCUCCCUGAUUCAAGUGAUUCUCCUGCCUCAGCCUCCCGAGUAUGUGGGAUUACAGGCACCUGCCACCACGCCCAGCUAAUUUUUGUAUUCUUAGUAGAGACGGGGUUUCACCAUGUUGGCCAGGCUGGUCUCGAACUCCUGAUCUUGUAAUCUGCCUGCCUUGGCCUCCCAAAAUGCUAGGAUUACAGGUGUGAGCCACUGUGCCUGGCCAGUCUUUUUUUUUUUUUUUUUUUUUGAGACAGCAUCUUGCUCUGUCGCCCAGGCUGGAGUGGAGUGGUGAGAUCUUGGCUCACUGCAACCUCCUCCUCCCGGGUUUAAGCAAUUCUCCUGCCUCAGCCUCCUGAGUAGCUGGGAUUACAGGCGCCCACUACCACACCUGGCUAAUUUUUGUAUUUUUAGUUGAGAUGAGGUUUCACCAUCUUGGCCAAGGCUGGUCUUAAACACCUGACCUCAGGUGAUUCACCCGCCUCAGCUUAAAAGUUCUGGGAUUACAGGCAAGAGCCACCAUGCCCGGCAGGCCUCGCUUAGUCUUAAGGACAGCACGCCCCACACUGUCUGCCUAAAGAGGUGGCUGGGGGCCUGGAAGUGGUAGGGGCUGCCAGAAAGUUUGGCAUUCAUCCAUUUGCAGGGGAAGGAUAGGCACUUUCACUUGUUUCUGUAGAAAUUGCUAGAAACAUUGAUGCCCUUGCCACCCAGGGCCACCACCUCUUGGUCCAGCAGUACCUGUUUGGCUGUGAUGGCCAGGCAGCCCAGGAGAUGGCCUCAGCCACUGUGCACCAGGGCCCGCCCUUUUGCUACCUUUGACAGCCGCCCAUUACAGGGUGCUUUUGUAUUCCUAUGUGCUCCUUGGGCUUUGUUCUGGAUUCUUACUUGGAAAUGGUUUGAUUUGUUUGGGUCUUGCUUUUAAGCAUUGUGAGAUCCAAGCGGCAUUCUGGGUAGGACUCAUAUUCUCCCAGCACCGAGGCAAACCAUUUCUGAGCACUGUAUCCAGUGCGAAGUGAUUUAUGAGGCUUUCCACUUCGGCCGGCAGGAAGAGGCACUAUUCUUCGCCCUAGAGUUCUGAAGAGUUUGCCUCUAAUCCUUUCAUGUUGUUUUCCUUCUCUAGACUCAGGAUUUCCUCACAUGUAUCAAACUGAGCAGUACUCGGUUGAAUACUCGAGAGGACCCUCCGCAAGGGUCCAGAGUUCUGUGUGAGGCCCUCUCCUCCCCAAUCAUCUGCUUUGUAAACUCCGGGAGACUGCCGGGCUCCUCUUGGGCUCUCCUUCCAUGCCCUGUGAUCUGGACACUUUCUCCAGGCGGUAACUGGGGCAAUUAUAUGGCUUGUUCAUUAGUUUCUUGAAUCUUGGGGAUCACUGUCCUUCCUUGUCUGAUGUCUACUGUCUUGAUUUUUUUUUUGGCAGUCUCACUCUGUCACCCAGGCUGGACCUUUGCGGGUCCCUGAGCCCCAUUCCUGAAGUGAGUGCUGCCGGUCAGCUGUGGGAUCAGGGAAGACUUUGUGGAACACUGGGGUCUGUGUCUCUCCCUGUGAAGGCAGGAAAGCCACCGUGAGCACCCCAGUGACUGUGCCAGGCUCUGCCCUGAGCCCCAUGCAAGCCCUGCCCCAUGAGGCACACGGCACCUGCCCCAUUUUCACUGGGGGCAGAUGGGAUGACUUGCUCCAGCUGGUGAGUCUCAGAGGAGGGCCUCCUGCACCCAGUCUGCACUCUUCACCCCUCACCUGGCUGCCCUGCCCUAGUGCGUUCCUGGGAUGAGACCCAGAGGAUCCCUGGGCAGGGUAGGGGAGCCCUGGUCUUGCUGUGCAGCUCUGGUGCCAUUAGCUGGCCCUGUGCCCUUGGGCUGUCUGAAUACUCGCUACCCCUUGUCAUCUCCUGCGGGGGUCUGGCUUUUGAACAAGUCUUGGCUUCUUUCUAGGAAGUCGUGCUGUGAGUCAUUUAUCAACAGUUCCUGACUCUUGCUCUGUCCUGGCACUGCCCUCACGGAGCUGCCCGUUGCUGGGACGGACUAGAUAAAUGAAUGAAACCACGGACUACACGAGCAAUUACAAUUGCGAUGGAGGCCUCAAAACAGCAGCGCAGCAGGGCAGGAGCACACAAAGGCAGCCGGUGCCUGUGAGCGGGUCAGCCCACCAGGAAGGCUCUGCGGGAGGGAGGUGGCGCUUAAACGGAGACCUGCAGGAUGAGCAGGAAGGGACAGAGGAUGGAGUGGUCCCGUGGCGAGGAGGAGAAUGGGCCAUUUGAGGAGCAGAGAAAGUGCAGAGGGGCCUGGAGAACCGCGGGGAGAUGAGACGCGGAGAGGGGCAGGAGAUGGAGAAGGGCCAGACAGGAGGGCCUGCGGGCACUGUGAGGGCUGCACGGCAGCCAAGUCCCCUUCUAGCCUUCCAGAUGGAAAGGCACUAGGCGAGGUUGAGAAAGCCAACAUCCGAUGGGCCACAAAGCAAAGCUGCUUCUGCACCCUCAUGGGCCAAGAUACCAGCAAGGUGAGGUCACCUCCAGCCAGGGCCGGGCUCGGCUCUUGUCUCAUGUGUCCCGCCUUCCAUCCACAGCCCACUCGCUCCCCCCACCCCUGCCUGUGGCCUCUGCAGCUGGCAAUCUAGGCCCGAAAACAAUGCAGAGAAUCUCCGGCCGGCCGGGGCUGUGGUAUGGAUGGGCUUCUAUUUAUAACAAUGCAGCAACUGCCACCUCAGUGGGCCUGUGGCCCGACCUCUGGUGGGACUCUGGCAAGCCUCAAAGCCAGACCCUGGAGGAGACAGCAGAGGAAGGGCAGAUGACACAGCUGAAGGGUGUGGAGCCAGCUGCUCCCACCCUGGUGUCCUCGUCAGGACCCGCAAACCCCCAUCUGUGCGUGGUUC
This is a long non-coding RNA of Macaca fascicularis (crab-eating macaque), 3322 nucleotides long. Lineage: Eukaryota; Metazoa; Chordata; Mammalia; Primates; Cercopithecidae. The record is from Ensembl.